Molecule: ribosomal RNA, 366 nt
Filed under: uncultured bacterium
Lineage: Bacteria
Description: bacterial SSU rRNA
Rfam family: Bacterial small subunit ribosomal RNA
Source: RNAcentral
AACGAACGCUGGCGGCAGGCCUAACACAUGCAAGUCGAACGCUCCGCAAGGGGAGUGGCAGACGGGUGAGUAACGCGUGGGAACCUUCCCAGUGGUACGGAAUAGCCCAGGGAAACUUGGGGUAAUACCGGAUAAGCCCGAGAGGGGAAAGAUUUAUCGCCAUUGGAUGGGCCCGCGUCGGAUUAGCUAGUUGGUGAGGUAAAGGCUCACCAAGGCGACGAUCCGUAGCUGGUUUGAGAGAACGACCAGUCACACUGGCACUGCGACACGGGCCAGACUCCUACGGGAGGCAGCAGUAAGGAAUAUUGCGCAAUGGGCGAAAGCCUGACGCAGCGACGCCGCGUGGGGGAUGAAGGUCUUCGGAUU